Long non-coding RNA from Zonotrichia albicollis (white-throated sparrow), 2434 nucleotides. RefSeq lists it as uncharacterized. The record is from RefSeq and is a predicted model, not a curated record. NCBI's taxonomy places the organism in Eukaryota, Metazoa, Chordata, Aves, Passeriformes, Passerellidae.
AGUGCCAUGGCCACAGCUGUCACAGGGGUUACACAGCUCCAAAAUGAGCCCAGAAGUGGAGGAACAGUCACUCCCUGCUCCAACCCACUGCUCCUGGGAAUGUUGGGGGUCCCUGCCCAGUCUGAGCAUCUUUUCCUGUGCCAUGGAUGUGGGGGAGUUCUGACAAUCUCAGACACGGCUGGAGAGAGAGAUGGAAGUCUUCCAGCAGAGCUGUUGUUUGGUGUCUCUCAUGACGUUGAUUUUCGGUCCUUCUAGAGCCCAGAAUUACUUUGAUUUUCAGUUCUUCAAGAGCCCAGGUUCUUUCCAGUCUGGACAAACAUUGCUGAGAUAACCUGACUGUUACAAAGGUAAAACCGGGGAGGCUCAAGCACCAAUCACUUUGCAAACCCUCUGUGAACCCCACACAUUUCCCCAGGACAGCUGCACCUCCCAGCCCCGUUUGUCCUCUCAUCAGAGAGAUCUGAAGGAGGAGGAGGAGUAGCAGCAGAGGAUGUGAGGAGCAGAGUCAUGGCUGGAUAACAUCUCCCCAGGCUACAAUCCACAUCAAGCACAAACCAGGAUUGAUGAAGUGCUGAGGCAGCACUGACCACCACUGAUCUGCCUGGAGGGAAAACUGCUCAUCGUGGUUGGAGGCAGCACCAUCUGUGCCACCCUGAUGGAUGGUGGCCCUUGGACACAGCUCCUGCUGGGAAGGGGCUGAGCUGGCUCUGGCCUUGGCACAGCUUCCUCCUGGAGUUUCUCUGCCCCCUUUAGUGCCAGUCACCGUCUGACCCCAAACUGGACCUUCUCUAGGAUGCAGCCUGUGGGACAAAUGUUUUCAGGUGUGAUGAGGACCUGAAAAAAGGGCAUGGAAAAGUUUUUAUGAUAUCAGAAUCUAUGACUCCUUAUGUUAAUAAAUCUCAAUAGAAAAUGGUGAAAAAGCAGGGCUACACAAAUUCCAAAGCUCCCCAGGCCUGAACAAUCCUCACGAAACCUGCCAAUAGCCAGAAGGGCUCCAGCACACGGGAGACACCUGUGGCUGCUCCCUGAACGCCAGAGCAUCCCUAAAACCUCACAGGUUGCCUCCCUCCCUCCCUCUUUCCAGUGCUCCAGGCUCUCCUCUCUCUGCACGCUCUCCAGACCCACCUGCGGGCUCAGGCUGGGCUCCAGCCCACGCGCUGCUCGCGGGCAUGAGCGAGGCUUUGGGGUGUGCAGAGUGCCCUGCCUGGGCCGUGCUCAGGCCUGCUGCCACGUGGGCUCCCUGGCCAGGGGCCUGGCACGGGGCUUGCAGCAGGAGAUGGCUGUGCUGCUGUUUGUGCUCGCAGCUGAGAGCAGGAGCAGAGCACACGGCCAAGCUGCAGCCCCUCCAGUGGUGUGCAUCGUCCUCCCCCUCUGCUUUGGGGCAGUAAAUCAUUCAGCAUGGAAUAAGAGCUGCUCAAACUCUGAGGAAGAAUGGCUCCCAGAGACAAACCUCACCUGGGAAGCCGCUGGGAAGCACUUCUGAGCUGGCAAGAGUUAGCAAUGGGGAAUGAAGGGGGGUUUGACAGUGCUGAUGCUGCUCCUCAGGAAACAGGGACUCAACGUAAAAGUGAGCAGGGAGAGUUCAUACAUAACCUCCCUCCCCCUGAGGAUCUGUCAUUGCUGUAGCUCUGAGCCACCGUGGAGGGACAGGCAGCACACCCACACACUGACUGAGGAGCACGAUGGGGCCCAGUGCCAGCUCUCCUCCUCCUCCAUCAAUCACCAGGAACAGGGAGACAGAUGUCUCCUGAGGAGUUUGGGAGGUAUCAUCAAGGAGCAGGAUAAAUCAGGUUCCUGAAUAUACAACAGGGCAAUUAUUUACGGAUCAUCAAAUAUUGGCUCUGAAAACCCCAGGCAUCAAACAGCAGCCUGUGCCAGGGGGUGUGUUCGCCUUCUGCCUGCACCUCACAGAGCUGGAGCAAUGGGAUCAGCACCUGCCACGACCCAAACCCAGCACUCCUUUCCAGCUGGAGUCACUGGUGAGGGCAAAGAGCCCUAUUCUGACAUGGUUUUACCACUUUCUCCCUGGGGAAUUGAGCAGGAAAGCACAGUCAGGUUCACCAAGCCUGGCAGGAUAACAUACAGCGGGUAUGGGUACAGACCCACUGGGAUCUGCUGCCUGCAGGGAUGUUGUGUUGUAGCACAUGUGGCUGCCCCAAGCCAAAGAAGGAGGGGUAGGUACAACCUGAUCUCAGCCACUCUCAGCCUCAGGGUUUUGACCUCUGGAAGAACCUGGUUGAGUUUCUGGCUGGGCCUGGCCACCCCUGCCAGGAGCAGCAGCAGUGGCAGCAGCCGUGCCUGGCGGGAUGCCCUUAUAAGAGCAAACUCGAGCUCCCAGUCAUAAACGAAACCCUUCUCUUUCAUUUACUCAUCUGACCUGGCAGUGCUGGGACUGAUAAUGCUGGUUUCCUUUUAAGCAGAGGCCAGUCAUAAA